Molecule: long non-coding RNA, 210 nt
Filed under: Elaeis guineensis (African oil palm)
Lineage: Eukaryota; Viridiplantae; Streptophyta; Magnoliopsida; Arecales; Arecaceae
Description: long non-coding RNA (EGUI_LNC047227)
Source: RNAcentral
AUUGAGCAGACUGAAUUUGAGAGGCUACAAGAUGAUAGCUAGUAAAAGAAUCCUGAAGGUGUUGUGUGGCGAUAGGGUUAUUUUGGAGAGAAAGAAGAGGAUAAAAAGAUAUUACUAUCUGCUGAGGAGCCCAGUCGAGGUGGAGCUUUAGAAGCCAUAAGAAGCCAAAGCAAGGUAGAGCUCCAAGUGGAGGUAGAUUGGAUACUAGAC